CCUACGGGGGGCAGCAGUGAGGAAUAUUGGUCAAUGGGCGCAGGCCUGAACCAGCCAAGUCGCGUGAGGGAAGACUGCCCUAUGGGUUGUAAACCUCUUUUAUAAGGGAAGAAUAAUGACUACGUGUAGUCAGAUGCCCGUACCUUAUGAAUAAGCAUCGGCUAACUCGGUGCCAGCAGCCGCGGUAAUACGGAGGAUGCGAGCGUUAUCCGGGUUUAUUGGGUUAAAAGGGUGCGUAGGGGGUAUUUUAAGUUAGUGGUAAAGCGUCGGGGCUUCACCUGGAUUGGCCAUUAAAACUGGGGUACUAGAGUGCAGACGGGGUAGGCGGAAUAAGUGAAGUAGCGGUGAAAUGCUUAGAUAUAACUUAGAACCCCGAUAGCGAAGGCAGCUUACCAGACUGUUACUGACGCUGAGGCACGAGAGCGUGGGUAGCGAACAGGAUUAGAUACCCUGGUAGUC
This 459-nucleotide ribosomal RNA is filed under the name uncultured bacterium. RNAcentral describes it as "partial 16S ribosomal RNA". It matches the Rfam family "Bacterial small subunit ribosomal RNA", at positions 338 to 795 of the family's 1533-position model. The record is from RNAcentral.